GUCGAGAGGCUUUGGCAAUGGGGGAAACCCUGACCAAGCGACGCCGCGUGGAGGAUGAAGGCCCUUGGGUUGUAAACUCCUUUUGCCGGGGAAGAAACGCGAUCAGGUGAACAAUCUGGUCGUUUGACGGUACCCGGCGAAUAAGCUCCGGCCAACUCCGUGCCAGCAGCCGCGGUAACACGGGGGGAGCAAGCGUUGUUCGGAAUUACUGGGCGUAAAGGGCGUGUAGGCGGUCAGGUAAGUGGAAUGUGAAAUGCCCCGGCUCACCCGGGGACCUGCAUCCCAAACUGCCUGGCUUGAGUAUGGGAGAGGAUGGAGGAAUUCCUGGUGUAGCGGUGAAAUGCGUAGAUAUCAGGAGGAACACCGGUGGCGAAGGCGUCCAUCUGGCCCAAUACUGACGCUGAGGCGCGAAAGCUAGGGGAGCGAACGGGAUUAGAUACCCCUGUAGUCC
This 451-nucleotide ribosomal RNA is filed under the name uncultured bacterium. Its description in RNAcentral is "bacterial SSU rRNA". It matches the Rfam family "Bacterial small subunit ribosomal RNA", at positions 354 to 796 of the family's 1533-position model. The record is from RNAcentral.